This is a ribosomal RNA of 389 nucleotides. It matches the Rfam family "Bacterial small subunit ribosomal RNA", at positions 355 to 736 of the family's 1533-position model.
UGGGGAAUCUUCCGCAAUGGACGAAAGUCUGACGGAGCAACGCCGCGUGAACGAUGAAGGUCUUCGGAUUGUAAAGUUCUGUGAUCCGGGACGAAGGCAUUGAUUGAGAACAUUGAUUGAUGUUGACGGUACCCGAAUAGCAAGCCACGGCUAACUACGUGCCAGCAGCCGCGGUAAUACGUAGGUGGCAAGCGUUGUCCGGAAUUAUUGGGCGUAAAGCGCGCGCAGGCGGCUUCUUAAGUCCAUCUUAAAAGUGCGGGGCUUAACCCCGUGAUGGGAUGGAAACUGAGAGGCUGGAGUAUCGGAGAGGAAAGUGGAAUUCCUAGUGUAGCGGUGAAAUGCGUAGAGAUUAGGAAGAACACCGGUGGCGAAGGCGACUUUCUGGACGA